AACGAACGCUGGCGGCAGGCCUAACACAUGCAAGUCGAGCGCCCCGCAAGGGGAGCGGCGGACGGGUGAGUAACGCGUGGGAAUAUGCCCUUUGCUACGGAAUAGUCUCGGGAAACUGGGGGUAAUACCGUAUACGCCCUUUGGGGGAAAGAUUUAUCGGCGAAGGAUUAGCCCGCGUUGGAUUAGGUAGUUGGUGGGGUAAUGGCCUACCAAGCCGACGAUCCAUAGCUGGUUUGAGAGGAUGAUCAGCCACACUGGGACUGAGACACGGCCCAGACUCCUACGGGAGGCAGCAGUGGGGAAUCUUAGACAAUGGGGGCAACCCUGAUCGAGCCAUGACGCGUGAGUGAUGAAGGCCUUAGGGUUGUAAAGCUCUUUCAGCUGGGAAGAUAAUGACGGUACCAGCAGAAGAAGCCCCGGCUAACUCCGUG
Molecule: ribosomal RNA, 431 nt
Filed under: uncultured bacterium
Lineage: Bacteria
Description: partial 16S ribosomal RNA
Rfam family: Bacterial small subunit ribosomal RNA
Source: RNAcentral